This 223-nucleotide long non-coding RNA is filed under the name Elaeis guineensis (African oil palm). RNAcentral's name for it is "long non-coding RNA (EGUI_LNC004370)". Lineage: Eukaryota; Viridiplantae; Streptophyta; Magnoliopsida; Arecales; Arecaceae. The record is from RNAcentral.
CAUCCUUUUCUUUUCCCACUGCAUCACAUUAUUUGUUGAUUCUUUUACCUAUUUUUGAAAAUGAAAAGCAAUUGACGCAUUCUAAACUUUUCCUCAUAACUAUAUCUGCCUUUGAAGGACAGAAAGAUUUAGAGAGGAUUUACAUAGCAGUAAUUUAUUCUUUUUACAUCAUUUUUUUUUUUCACGCACACACACAGUGACUGUUAAGUGGUUUCACAAGCAC